GAUGAACGCUGGCGGCGUGCCUAAUACAUGCAAGUCGAGCGAACGUACUUGAAGCUUGCUUCUCUGAUGUUAUCGGCGGACGUGUGAGUAACACGUGGUUAACCUACCUAUAAGAUUGGGUUAACUUCGGGAAACCGGUGCUAAUACCUGAUAAUAUUUUGAUCCGCAUGGUUCAAAAGUGAAAGACGGUCUUGCUGUCACUUAUAGAUGGAUCCGGGCUGCAUUAGAUACUUGGUAGGGUAACGGAUUACCAAGGCAACGAUGCAUAGCCGACCUGAGAGGGUAAUCGGACACACUGGAACUGAAACGAGGUCCAGACUCCUACGGGAGGCAGCAGUAGGGAAUCUUACACAAUGGGCGAAAGCCUAACGGAGCAACGCCGCGUGAGUGAUAAAGGUCUUCGGAUAGUAAAACUCUGUUAUUAGGGAAGAACAUAUGUGUAAGUAACUGUGCACAUCUUGACGGUACCUAAUCAGAAAGCCACGGCUAACUACGUG
RNAcentral lists this ribosomal RNA (497 nucleotides) under uncultured bacterium. Its description in RNAcentral is "partial 16S ribosomal RNA". It matches the Rfam family "Bacterial small subunit ribosomal RNA", at positions 28 to 507 of the family's 1533-position model. The record is from RNAcentral.